AGGUUGGCUUAGAAGCAGCCACCCUUUAAAGAAAGCGUAAUAGCUCACUGGUCUAGCGACUUUGCGCCGAAAAUGUAACGGGGCUAAGUAUGGUGCCGAAGCUUCGGAAUCAGGUUUACCUGAUUGGUAGGAGAGCGUUCCCAACCGGGAUGAAGGUAGAUUGGAAAGUCUGCUGGACUGUUGGGAAGUGAAUAUGCUGGCAUGAGUAACGAAAAAACAGGUGAAAAACCUGUUCGCCGUAAACCCAAGGUUUCCUGGGUAAAGUUAAUCUUCCCAGGGUUAGUCGGCCCCUAAGGCGAGGCUGAAAAGCGUAGUUGAUGGGAAACGGGUUAAUAUUCCCGUACCUGCAUAUGUUCGUUUGAACGAUGGGGGGACGCAGGAAGGUAGGUCAUCCGGGUGUUGGAUAUCCCGGUGCAAGCUCGUAGGGAUGAGAUAUAGGCAAAUCCGUAUCUCUCUAUCCCGAGAAGUGAUGCCGUGUCGUAAGACUGAAGUGACUGAGUCUAUGCUGCCGAGAAAAGCCUCUAAGUGAGAACAUAGGUAGACCGUACUGUAAACCGACACAGGUGGGUGGGGUGAGUAACCCAAGGCGUUUGAGAGAACUCUGGUUAAGGAACUCGGCAAAAUUACCCCGUAACUUCGGGAGAAGGGGUGCCAUCCUUGGUGCGUAUAUUUACUGUACAAGCUUCGGAUGGUCGCAGAGAAAUGGCGGUGGCGACUGUUUACUAAAAACAUAGGACUCUGCUAAGUCGUAAGACGAUGUAUAGGGUCUGACGCCUGCCCGGUGCUGGAAGGUUAAGAGGAGAUGUCAGCGCAAGCGAAGCAUUGAAUUGAAGCCCCAGUAAACGGCGGCCGUAACUAUAACGGUCCUAAGGUAGCGAAAUUCCUUGUCGGGUAAGUUCCGACCUGCACGAAUGGCGUAACGAUCUCCGCACUGUCUCGACCAGAGACUCAGUGAAAUUGAAUUGGCGGUGAAGAUGCCGUCUCCCCGCAGAAAGACGGAAAGACCCUGUGCACCUUUACUAUAGCUUGACAUUGGAUCUUGAACUAUCAUGUGUAGGAUAGGUGGGAGACUGUGAAGCGGGUACGCUAGUAUCCGUGGAGUCAACCUUGAAAUACCACCCUUGUUAGUUUAGGACUCUAAUCCCUCGCCGUCAUCCGGCAGGGAGACAGUGUCUGGUGGGUAGUUUGACUGGGGCGGUCGCCUCCCAAAGAGUAACGGA
Molecule: ribosomal RNA, 1220 nt
Filed under: activated sludge metagenome
Description: bacterial LSU rRNA
Rfam family: Bacterial large subunit ribosomal RNA
Source: RNAcentral